This 587-nucleotide ribosomal RNA is filed under the name uncultured bacterium. RNAcentral describes it as "bacterial SSU rRNA". It matches the Rfam family "Bacterial small subunit ribosomal RNA", at positions 337 to 916 of the family's 1533-position model. The record is from RNAcentral.
UCCUACGGGAGGCAGCAGUGGGGAAUAUUGGACAAUGGGGGCAACCCUGAUCCAGCCAUGCCGCGUGUGUGAAGAAGGCCCUCGGGUUGUAAAGCACUUUCAGCGAGGAAGAACGCCUAGCGGUUAAUACCCGCUAGGAAAGACAUCACUCGCAGAAGAGGCACCGGCUAACUCCGUGCCAGCAGCCGCGGUAAUACGGAGGGUGCAAGCGUUAAUCGGAAUUACUGGGCGUAAAGCGCGCGUAGGUGGCUUGAUAAGCCGGUUGUGAAAGCCCCGGGCUCAACCUGGGAACGGCAUCCGGAACUGUCAAGCUAGAGUGCAGGAGAGGAAGGUAGAAUUCCCGGUGUAGCGGUGAAAUGCGUAGAGAUCGGGAGGAAUACCAGUGGCGAAGGCGGCCUUCUGGACUGACACUGACACUGAGGUGCGAAAGCGUGGGUAGCAAACAGGAUUAGAUACCCUGGUAGUCCACGCCGUAAACGAUGUCGACCAGCCGUUGGGUGCCUAGCGCACUUUGUGGCGAAGUUAACGCGAUAAGUCGACCGCCUGGGGAGUACGGCCGCAAGGUUAAAACUCAAAUGAAUUGACGG